Molecule: ribosomal RNA, 540 nt
Filed under: uncultured archaeon
Lineage: Archaea
Description: bacterial SSU rRNA
Rfam family: Archaeal small subunit ribosomal RNA
Source: RNAcentral
GCCAGCCGCCGCGGUAAUACCGGCGGCUCGAGUGGUGGCCACUUUAUUGGGCUUAAAGCGUUCGUAGCUGGGUUAUUAAGUCCCUUGGGAAAUCCGACAGCUUAACUGUCGGGCGUCUAAGAGAUACUGGUAAUCUUGGAACCGGGAGAGGUGAGGGGUACUUCGGGGGUAGGAGUGAAAUCCUGUAAUCCUCGAGGGACCACCUGUGGCGAAGGCGCCUCACCAGAACGGCUUCGACAGUGAGGGACGAAAGCUGGGGGAGCAAACCGGAUUAGAUACCCGGGUAGUCCCAGCCGUAAACGAUGUGCGUUAGGUGUAUCGGUGACCACGAGUCACCGAGGUGCCGAAGGGAAACCGUGAAACGUACCGCCUGGGAAGUACGGUCGCAAGGCUGAAACUUAAAGGAAUUGGCGGGGGAGCACCACAACAGGUGGAGCCUGCGGUUUAAUUGGACUCAACGCCGGAAAUCUCACCGGAUAAGACAGCAGAAUGAUUGCCGGGCUGAAGACUCUGCAUGACUAGCUGAGGGGUGGUGCAUGG